AUUGUUCCCUUAUGUAAGUCACUUUGGAUAAAGGCGUCUGCUAAAUGACUAAAU
Molecule: non-coding RNA, 54 nt
Organism: Larimichthys crocea (large yellow croaker)
Lineage: Eukaryota; Metazoa; Chordata; Actinopteri; Sciaenidae
Source: Rfam